RNAcentral lists this transfer RNA (74 nucleotides) under Arenicellales bacterium. RNAcentral's name for it is "tRNA-Gly". It matches the Rfam family "tRNA". Rfam says of the family: Transfer RNA (tRNA) molecules are approximately 80 nucleotides in length. Their secondary structure includes four short double-helical elements and three loops (D, anti-codon, and T loops). Lineage: Bacteria; Pseudomonadati; Pseudomonadota; Gammaproteobacteria; Arenicellales. The record is from RNAcentral.
GCGGGUAUCGUAUAGUGGUAAUACCUCAGCCUUCCAAGCUGAUGCUGUGAGUUCGAUUCUCACUACCCGCUCCA